UACGAAGGGGGCUAGCGUUGUUCGGAAUUAUUGGGCGUAAAGGGCGCGUAGGCGGUGCCACAAGUCACCUGUGAAAUCUCCGGGCUUAACUCGGAGCCUGCAGGCGAAACUGUGGUGCUGGAGUAUGGGAGAGGUGCGUGGAAUUCCCGGUGUAGCGGUGAAAUGCGCAGAUAUCAGGAGGAACACCAAUGGCGAAGGCAGCACUCUGGGACGGUACUGACGCUGAGACGCGAAAGCGUGGGGAGCAAACAGG
This 253-nucleotide ribosomal RNA is filed under the name uncultured bacterium. RNAcentral describes it as "partial 16S ribosomal RNA". It matches the Rfam family "Bacterial small subunit ribosomal RNA", at positions 524 to 776 of the family's 1533-position model. The record is from RNAcentral.